GACGAACGCUGGCGGCGUGCUUAACACAUGCAAGUCGAGCGGAAAGGCCCUUCGGGGUACUCGAGCGGCGAACGGGUGAGUAACACGUGAGUAACCUGCCCCAGACUUUGGGAUAACCCUCGGAAACGGGGGCUAAUACCGGAUACGACACAGCUUCGCAUGGGGUCUGUGUGGAAAGUUUUUCGGUUUGGGAUGGGCUCGCGGCCUAUCAGCUUGUUGGUGGGGUGAUGGCCUACCAAGGCGACGACGGGUAGCCGGCCUGAGAGGGCGACCGGCCACACUGGGACUGAGACACGGCCCAGACUCCUACGGGAGGCAGCAGUGGGGAAUAUUGCACAAUGGGCGGAAGCCUGAUGCAGCGACGCCGCGUGAGGGAUGACGGCCUUCGGGUUGUAAACCUCUUUCAGUAGGGACGAAGCGUAAGUGACGGUACCUGCAGAAGAAGCGCCGGCCAACUACGUG
Molecule: ribosomal RNA, 462 nt
Filed under: uncultured bacterium
Lineage: Bacteria
Description: partial 16S ribosomal RNA
Rfam family: Bacterial small subunit ribosomal RNA
Source: RNAcentral